UACAGAGGGGGCAAGCGUUGUUCGGAAUUACUGGGCGUAAAGGGCGCGUAGGCGGCCUUCUAAGUCGAACGUGAAAUCCCCGGGCUCAACCCGGGAACUGCGUCCGAUACUGGAAGGCUUGAAUCCGGGAGAGGGAUGCGGAAUUCCAGGUGUAGCGGUGAAAUGCGUAGAUAUCUGGAGGAACACCGGUGGCGAAGGCGGCAUCCUGGACAGGCAUUGACGCUGAGGCGCGAAAGCCAGGGGAGCAAACGGG
Molecule: ribosomal RNA, 253 nt
Filed under: uncultured bacterium
Lineage: Bacteria
Description: partial 16S ribosomal RNA
Rfam family: Bacterial small subunit ribosomal RNA
Source: RNAcentral